GAUUAGCCUGCGUCCGAUUAGCUAGUUGGUAGGGUAAAGGCCUACCAAGGCUACGAUCGGUAGGUGGUCCGAGAGGAUGAUCACCCACAAUGGAACUGAGACACGGUCCAUACUCCUACGGGAGGCAGCAGUGGGGAAUUUUACGCAAUGGGGGAAACCCUGACGUAGCGACACCGCGUGAGCGAAGAAGCCUUUUGGGGUGUAAAGCUCUGUCAGCUGGGAAGAAAAAAAUGACGGUACCAGCAGAGGAAGCAUCGGCUAACUACGUGCCAGCAGCCGCGGUAAGACGUAGGAUGCAAGCGUUGUCCGGAUUUAUUGGGCGUAAAGAGUUCGUAGGCGGUUUGUUAAGUCUGAUGUUAAAUAUCGGGGCUCAACCCCGGGACUGCAUUGGAUACUGGCAGACUUGAGUGCGGUAGAGGUAAGUGGAAUUUCUGGUGUAGCGGUGAAAUGCGUAGAUAUCAGAAAGAACACCAGUGGCGUAGGCGACUUACUGGGCCGUAACUGACGCUGAGGAACGAAAGCCAGGGGAGCAAAUGGGAUUAGAUACCCCAGUAGUCCUGGCUGUAAACGAUGUCAACUAGCUGUUGG
Molecule: ribosomal RNA, 588 nt
Filed under: uncultured bacterium
Lineage: Bacteria
Description: bacterial SSU rRNA
Rfam family: Bacterial small subunit ribosomal RNA
Source: RNAcentral